UGAGGAAUAUUGGUCAAUGGGCGAGAGCCUGAACCAGCCAAGUCGCGUGAAGGAAGACAGUCCUAAGGAUUGUAAACUUCUUUUAUACGGGAAUAACGGGCGAUACGAGUAUUGCAUUGAAUGUACCGUAAGAAUAAGCAUCGGCUAACUCCGUGCCAGCAGCCGCGGUAAUACGGAGGAUGCGAGCGUUAUCCGGAUUUAUUGGGUUUAAAGGGUGCGUAGGUUGUUCGGUAAGUCAGCGGUGAAACCUGAGCGCUCAACGUUCAGCCUGCCGUUGAAACUGCCGGGCUUGAGUUCAGUGGCAGCAGGCGGAAUUCGUGGUGUAGCGGUGAAAUGCAUAGAUAUCACGAGGAACUCCGAUUGCGAAGGCAGCUUGCCAUACUGCGACUGACACUGAAGCACGAAGGCGUGGGUAUCAAACAGG
Molecule: ribosomal RNA, 424 nt
Filed under: Fusobacteriota bacterium
Lineage: Bacteria; Fusobacteriati; Fusobacteriota
Description: Fusobacteria bacterium partial 16S ribosomal RNA
Rfam family: Bacterial small subunit ribosomal RNA
Source: RNAcentral